This 255-nucleotide ribosomal RNA is filed under the name uncultured bacterium. RNAcentral's name for it is "partial 16S ribosomal RNA". It matches the Rfam family "Bacterial small subunit ribosomal RNA", at positions 524 to 776 of the family's 1533-position model. The record is from RNAcentral.
UACGUAGGGUGCGAGCGUUGUCCGGAAUUAUUGGGCGUAAAGAGCUCGUAGGCGGUGUGUCACGUCGGCCGUGAAAACCUGGGGCUUAACUCUGGGCGUGCGGUCGAUACGGGCAUCACUAGAGUUCGGCAGGGGAGACUGGAAUUCCUGGUGUAGCGGUGAAAUGCGCAGAUAUCAGGAGGAACACCGGUGGCGAAGGCGGGUCUCUGGGCCGAUGACUGACGCUGAGGAGCGAAAGCAUGGGGAGCGAACAGG